RNAcentral lists this ribosomal RNA (497 nucleotides) under uncultured bacterium. RNAcentral describes it as "partial 16S ribosomal RNA". It matches the Rfam family "Bacterial small subunit ribosomal RNA", at positions 28 to 507 of the family's 1533-position model. The record is from RNAcentral.
GAUGAACGCUGGCGGCGUGCCUAAUACAUGCAAGUCGAGCGAACAGACGAGGAGCUUGCUCCUCUGACGUUAGCGGCGGACGGGUGAGUACCACGUGGAUAACCUACCUAUAAGACUGGGAUAACUUCGGGAAACCGGAGCUAAUACCGGAUAAUAUAUUGAACCGCAUGGUUCAAUAGUGAAAGACGGUUUUGCUGUCACUUAUAGAUGGAUCCGCGCCGCAUUAGCUAGUUGGUAAGGUAACGGCUUACCAAGGCAACGAUGCGUAGCCGACCUGAGAGGGUGAUCAGCCACACUGGAACUGAGACACGGUCCAGACUCCUACGGGAGGCAGCAGUAGGGAAUCUUCCGCAAUGGGCGAAAGCUUGACGGAGCAACGCCGCGUGAGUGAUGAAGGUCUUCGGAUCGUAAAGCUCUGUUAGUAGGGAAGAACAAAUGUGUAAGUAACUAUGCACGUCUUGACGGUACCUAAUCAGAAAGCCACGGCUAACUACGUG